GAGUUAUCCUUGGGAUCAGGCUGAGACUAGAGUUCUCCUGAAGCAGCUGUUUUCUGGCCCAGCUUCUUCCCCAGCUCUAUCCUGCUUCCCUCCAUCUCCUAUAGGAUUCUCCUUAGAGCUCUCCCUCCAUUAGUAGUUGUCUUAGGGUCUGUUUCUGGGGAGCCCUGCCUAAGACUCAUGCUACAAGAAGUUAAAUAAGUUUCCCGAAGUCACACAGCUAGCCUUUCAUCCCUUUUCUAGUGAGAGGACGUGGAAUGCAAUCAGACAAGGAUAAGGUUUUUUUGUGAGCUGGCCUUGGAAUUAAACCACCACCAACACACUUCUGGAUUAUCAGAAGGUGGAAGGAGUGCAAAGUAUGGUGAUCAUUCUAUUUACAUUCUAUAAUAGACUGUAAAAAGUGGCCACAAAUUCCUCCUAUCUGCAGGCUUUCCUGACUAAGGGGUGCUUCGACAUCAAAGCUCCUUAGGAUUUACUUCCUGUCUAAAGCAAGGUCAAAAGGCUUUUGGUUUUAAGGAUCUAUGGGUGAAGAGAUAAUGCAGGAAGCCGGAUAUGCUGACAUGUGUGAGAGGCAUC
This 573-nucleotide non-coding RNA is filed under the name Pongo abelii (Sumatran orangutan). The record is from RNAcentral. Lineage: Eukaryota; Metazoa; Chordata; Mammalia; Primates; Hominidae.